This 1440-nucleotide ribosomal RNA is filed under the name Salmonella enterica subsp. enterica serovar Kentucky. Its description in RNAcentral is "partial 23S ribosomal RNA". It matches the Rfam family "Bacterial large subunit ribosomal RNA", at positions 1501 to 2916 of the family's 2925-position model. Lineage: Bacteria; Pseudomonadati; Pseudomonadota; Gammaproteobacteria; Enterobacterales; Enterobacteriaceae. The record is from RNAcentral.
GUUGUCCCGGUUUAAGCGUGUAGGCUGGUUUUCCAGGCAAAUCCGGAAAAUCAAGGCUGAGGCGUGAUGACGAGGCACUACGGUGCUGAAGCAACAAAUGCCCUGCUUCCAGGAAAAGCCUCUAAGCAUCAGGUAACAUCAAAUCGUACCCCAAACCGACACAGGUGGUCAGGUAGAGAAUACCAAGGCGCUUGAGAGAACUCGGGUGAAGGAACUAGGCAAAAUGGUGCCGUAACUUCGGGAGAAGGCACGCUGACACGUAGGUGAAGUGAUUUACUCAUGGAGCUGAAGUCAGUCGAAGAUACCAGCUGGCUGCAACUGUUUAUUAAAAACACAGCACUGUGCAAACACGAAAGUGGACGUAUACGGUGUGACGCCUGCCCGGUGCCGGAAGGUUAAUUGAUGGGGUCAGCGCAAGCGAAGCUCCUGAUCGAAGCCCCGGUAAACGGCGGCCGUAACUAUAACGGUCCUAAGGUAGCGAAAUUCCUUGUCGGGUAAGUUCCGACCUGCACGAAUGGCGUAAUGAUGGCCAGGCUGUCUCCACCCGAGACUCAGUGAAAUUGAACUCGCUGUGAAGAUGCAGUGUACCCGCGGCAAGACGGAAAGACCCCGUGAACCUUUACUAUAGCUUGACACUGAACAUUGAGCCUUGAUGUGUAGGAUAGGUGGGAGGCUUUGAAGUGUGGACGCCAGUCUGCAUGGAGCCGACCUUGAAAUACCACCCUUUAAUGUUUGAUGUUCUAACGUGGACCCGUAAUCCGGGUUGCGGACAGUGUCUGGUGGGUAGUUUGACUGGGGCGGUCUCCUCCUAAAGAGUAACGGAGGAGCACGAAGGUUGGCUAAUCCUGGUCGGACAUCAGGAGGUUAGUGCAAUGGCAUAAGCCAGCUUGACUGCGAGCGUGACGGCGCGAGCAGGUGCGAAAGCAGGUCAUAGUGAUCCGGUGGUUCUGAAUGGAAGGGCCAUCGCUCAACGGAUAAAAGGUACUCCGGGGAUAACAGGCUGAUACCGCCCAAGAGUUCAUAUCGACGGCGGUGUUUGGCACCUCGAUGUCGGCUCAUCACAUCCUGGGGCUGAAGUAGGUCCCAAGGGUAUGGCUGUUCGCCAUUUAAAGUGGUACGCGAGCUGGGUUUAGAACGUCGUGAGACAGUUCGGUCCCUAUCUGCCGUGGGCGCUGGAGAACUGAGGGGGGCUGCUCCUAGUACGAGAGGACCGGAGUGGACGCAUCACUGGUGUUCGGGUUGUCAUGCCAAUGGCACUGCCCGGUAGCUAAAUGCGGAAGAGAUAAGUGCUGAAAGCAUCUAAGCACGAAACUUGCCCCGAGAUGAGUUCUCCCUGAGACUUAGAGUCUCCUGAAGGAACGUUGAAGACGACGACGUUGAUAGGCCGGGUGUGUAAGCGCAGCGAUGCGUUGAGCUAACCGGUACUAAUGAACCGUGAGG